RNAcentral lists this ribosomal RNA (1455 nucleotides) under uncultured Bordetella sp. RNAcentral's name for it is "partial 16S-23S ribosomal RNA intergenic spacer". It matches the Rfam family "Bacterial small subunit ribosomal RNA". The record is from RNAcentral. Lineage: Bacteria; Pseudomonadati; Pseudomonadota; Betaproteobacteria; Burkholderiales; Alcaligenaceae.
GGUUCGAUCCUGGCUCAGAUUGAACGCUGGCGGGGAUGCUACACAUGCAAGUCGAACGCGGCAGCACGGACUUCGGUCUGGUGGCGAGUGGCGAACGGGUGAGUAAUGUAUCGGAACGUGCCUAAUGUAAGGGGAUAACUACGCGAAAGCGUAUGUACCGCAUGCGCCGCUGUGGGGGAAAGCGGGGGACCUUCGGGCCUCGCACUAUUAAAACGGCCGAUAUCGGAUUAGCUAGUUGGUGAGGUAACGGCUCACCAAAGGCGACGAUCCGUAGCUGGUUUGAGAGGACGACCAGCCACACUGGGACGGUACGGCUUGGACUCUGCAGAGGCGGCGGUGGGGGUACGGACAAUGAAGCCUGAUCAAGCCACAUCCGUGUGCGAUGAAGGCCCUUCGGGUUGUACCUUGCUGGCGGAAAAGCGGCUGGGAUGUACGACGGCGGCUGCGUCACCUGCAAGGAGGCUAGCACCUGGCUAACUACGUGCCAGCAGCCGCGGUAAUACGUAAGUGCAAAGCGUUAAUCAGGUUACUGGGCGUAAAGCGUGCGCAGGCGGUUCGGAAGAAAGAUGUGAAAUCGAGCUUAACUGGAACUGCAUUACUGCUUCUGCCACGAAGCUGAAGUGGCUGGCUGGAGGAGACAGAUUCUGCCGUGUAGCAUUCAAAUGCGUAGAUGUGCGGAGAACACCGAUGGCGAAGGCAGCCUCCUGGGAUAACACUGACGCUCAUGCACGAAAGCGUGGGGAGCAAACAGGAUUAGAUACCCUGGUAGUCCACGCCUAAACGAUGUCCAACUAGCUGUUGGGGCCUUCGGAGCCUUGGUAGCGCAGCUAACGCGUAGUUGACCGCCUGGGAAGUACGGUCGCAAGAUUAAACUCAAAAGGAAUUGACGAGGGGACCCGCACAAGCGGUGGAUGAUGUGGAUUAAUUCGAUGCAGCGAAAAGCCGCACACCUACCCUUGACAUGUCUGGAAUCCCGAAGAGAUUUGGGAGUGCUCGCAAGAGAACGGAACACAGGUGCUGCAUGGCUGUCGUCAGCUCGUGUCGUGAGAUGUUGGACAGAUCCGCAACGACGCAACCCUUGUCAUUAGUUGCUACGAAAAGGGCACUCUAAUGAGGCUGCCGGUGACAAACCGGAGGAAGGUGGGGAUGACGUCAAGUCCUCAUGGCCCUUAUGGGUGGGGCUUCACACGUCAUACAAUGGUCGGGACAGAGGUCGCCAACCCGCGAGGAGCCAAUCCCAGAAACCCCGAUCACGUAGUCCGGAUCGCAGUCUGCAACUCGACUGCGUGAGGUCAGAAUCGCUAGUAAUCGCGGAUCAGCAUGUCGGUAUGAUUACGAUUCCCGGGUCACCCUUUUUGCCGAAAUACCAUGGAGGUGGGUUUUAUUCGGAACAGCUGCCGUAAGGAGGGCGAUUACAGUAGGAUUCAUGACUGGGGUGAAGUCGUAACAAGGUAA